UGUUGGACUGUAAUGUUGGCGAACACUAAGGCCAGUGUUAUCAGAGGACUUGCUAACAUGAAGAAAACAGUCCAGAGGUUCCACCUGAGAGCCGGGACUGUCAAAUAGUAAGAGACAAUGAAAAGGAGGGAACUGUCUUUUAAGCUGUGGCUUCAGACGGAGGGCUCGCAUUUACGUCACAAACAGCAUUGCAGAGGACUCUAUUACAGCUAGAACCAACUCAAGCACACAAUGGUGACACACAUUUAUAAGAACUCCCUGUGAUAUGAAAGUUUCCCUGUGGUAGUUAUUCAGAUUCUUCUCAUUCUCAUUGUGUAGCACUGGUUUAAAGGGUUAGUUC
Molecule: long non-coding RNA, 340 nt
Organism: Sinocyclocheilus grahami
Lineage: Eukaryota; Metazoa; Chordata; Actinopteri; Cypriniformes; Cyprinidae
Exons: 3
Source: RefSeq, a predicted model, not a curated record